This 422-nucleotide ribosomal RNA is filed under the name uncultured prokaryote. RNAcentral describes it as "bacterial SSU rRNA". It matches the Rfam family "Bacterial small subunit ribosomal RNA", at positions 355 to 774 of the family's 1533-position model. The record is from RNAcentral.
UGAGGAAUAUUGGUCAAUGGACGAAAGUCUGAACCAGCCAUGCCGCGUGAAGGAUGAAUGCCUUAUAGGUUGUAAACUUCUUUUGUAUAGGGUGAACUUUUCGAACGUGUUCGAAAUUGACGGUACUAUACGAAUAAGCACCGGCUAACUCCGUGCCAGCAGCCGCGGUAAUACGGAGGGUGCAAGCGUUAUCCGGAUUUAUUGGGUUUAAAGGGUGAGUAGGCGGAAUUAUAAGUCAGUGGUGAAAUCUUGCAGCUUAACUGUAAAACUGCCAUUGAUACUGUUAUUCUUGAAUAUAGUUGAGGUAGGUGGAAUGUGUAAUGUAGCGGUGAAAUGCUUAGAUAUUACACAGAACCCCGAUUGCGAAGGCAGCUUACCAAACUAUCAUUGACGCUGAGGCACGAAAGCGUGGGGAUCAAACA